Podarcis lilfordi (Lilford's wall lizard) is the source of this 76-nucleotide non-coding RNA. NCBI's taxonomy places the organism in Eukaryota, Metazoa, Chordata, Lepidosauria, Squamata, Lacertidae. The record is from the annotation of a GenBank genome assembly.
UGCAAAAGCAUUGUACCCAGGGUCUGACGGCCAGACAUUGCACCUGGAGCUUUUCUGUUUUGCAAUAAAACAACCA